CCUACGGGUGGCAGCAGUGGGGAAUAUUGCACAAUGGGGAAAACCCUGAUGCAGCGACGCCGCGUGAGUGAAGAAGUAUUUCGGUAUGUAAAGCUCUAUCAGCAGGGAAGAAAAUGACGGUACAUGAUGAAGAAGCCCCGGCUAACUACGUGCCAGCAGCCGCGGUAAUACGUAGGGGGCAAGCGGUAUCCGGAUAUACUGGGUGUAAAGGGAGCGUAGACGGCAGCACAAGUCUGGAGUGAAAUGCCGUGGCUUAACCCCGGAACUGCUUUGGAAACGGUGCAGCUAGGGUGCAGGAGAGGUAAGUUGAAUUCCUAGUGUAGCGGUGAAAUGCGUAGAUAUUAGGAGGAACACCAGUGGCGAAGGCGGCUUACUGGACUGUAACUGACGUUGAGGCUCGAAAGCGUGGGGAGCAAACAGGAUUAGAUACCCUAGUAGUC
This 440-nucleotide ribosomal RNA is filed under the name uncultured bacterium. RNAcentral's name for it is "partial 16S ribosomal RNA". It matches the Rfam family "Bacterial small subunit ribosomal RNA", at positions 338 to 795 of the family's 1533-position model. The record is from RNAcentral.